This 500-nucleotide unclassified non-coding RNA is filed under the name Bombus terrestris (buff-tailed bumblebee). RNAcentral describes it as "misc RNA ENSBTSG00005026299.1". The record is from RNAcentral. Lineage: Eukaryota; Metazoa; Arthropoda; Insecta; Hymenoptera; Apidae.
CUUGACGAUCGCGCGCGCCACGUUUUAAGAGUAAGAAGAGUGGGGCAAGAGGAUCGCGGAAUAUCAAGAGGAUAAGGAAACGUUUUUGGGAAAGUAAAGAAACUGCAUGCAAAGAAACGACAAGUCGGCUUUAUUCACUGCGAACACGAUCCGUGGAAACGCGACCGAUCGUAAGGUUGGCGCGCAUGUACAGACAGAAAGGGAAGACACGUCCAAAGAAUUCUAAUAAAAAUCUGACACCUCAGGCGCGUUCUCGAAAGAAAGGUAAAGCGACACGAAGAUCCGUAACCCGACGCAGGGGUCGUCGUCGCUUGAAAUUGAAUCGUACUUCCAGAUGAAGAAGGAAAAAAUAAGAAAGGGAAGAAUUAUGGUUACUGCUGCAACAAGAAUAACGAGGUCCGCUCGUAUGACGGAAGAAAAGCGAGAUAUUGCCCUGCUUGAGAUGAACAGCGUCUUUUACCUUAUAUUUAUAAUUAAAUAGUUAAAUGAAACUUAAACAG